RNAcentral lists this ribosomal RNA (446 nucleotides) under uncultured bacterium. RNAcentral's name for it is "SSU rRNA". It matches the Rfam family "Bacterial small subunit ribosomal RNA", at positions 26 to 518 of the family's 1533-position model. The record is from RNAcentral.
AGAGCGAACGCUGGCGGCAGGCCUAAUACAUGCAAGUCGAACGGACCCUUCGGGGUUAGUGGCGGACGGGUGAGUAACACGUGGGAACGUGCCCUUUGGUUCGGAACAACUCAGGGAAACUUGAGCUAAUACCGAAUGUGCCCUUUGGGGGAAAGAUUUAUCGCCAUUGGAGCGGCCCGCGUCUGAUUAGCUAGUUGGUGAGGUAAAGGCUCACCAAGGCGACGAUCAGUAGCUGGUCUGAGAGGAUGAUCAGCCACACUGGGACUGAGACACGGCCCAGACUCCUACGGGAGGCAGCAGUAGGGAAUCUUGCGCAAUGGGCGAAAGCCUGACGCAGCCAUGCCGCGUGAAUGAUGAAGGUCUUAGGAUUGUAAAAUUCUUUCAGCGGGGACGAUAAUGACCGGUACCGCAGAAGAAGCCCCGGCUAACUUCGUGCCAGCAGCCGC